RNAcentral lists this non-coding RNA (30 nucleotides) under Mus musculus (house mouse). The record is from RNAcentral. Lineage: Eukaryota; Metazoa; Chordata; Mammalia; Rodentia; Muridae.
UGGCUCUUAAACCAUGCCUGUGACAGUAUC